GUUCCUGUAGGGCAAUGGGUAGCGCGUUGGACUUGCAAUCCAAAAGUCGUGGGUUUGAAUCCCACCUGGGAUG
Molecule: transfer RNA, 73 nt
Filed under: Trichonephila inaurata madagascariensis
Lineage: Eukaryota; Metazoa; Arthropoda; Arachnida; Araneae; Nephilidae
Rfam family: tRNA
About the family: Transfer RNA (tRNA) molecules are approximately 80 nucleotides in length. Their secondary structure includes four short double-helical elements and three loops (D, anti-codon, and T loops).
Source: Rfam by way of RNAcentral